GACGAACCGUGCAAACGUUGUUCGGAAUCACUGGGCUUAAAGGGCGCGUAGGCGGGACCCCAAGUCAAGGGUGAAAUCCUCCGGCUCAACCGGAGAACUGCUUCUGAUACUGGGGCCCUCGAGGGAGGUAGGGGCAGAUGGAACUUCCGGUGGAGCGGUGAAAUGCGUAGAUAUCGGAAGGAACGCCGGUGGCGAAAGCGAUCUGCUGGACCUCAUCUGACGCUGAGGCGCGAAAGCCAGGGGAGCAAACGGG
Molecule: ribosomal RNA, 253 nt
Filed under: uncultured bacterium
Lineage: Bacteria
Description: partial 16S ribosomal RNA
Rfam family: Bacterial small subunit ribosomal RNA
Source: RNAcentral